RNAcentral lists this ribosomal RNA (253 nucleotides) under uncultured bacterium. RNAcentral's name for it is "partial 16S ribosomal RNA". It matches the Rfam family "Bacterial small subunit ribosomal RNA", at positions 524 to 776 of the family's 1533-position model. The record is from RNAcentral.
UACAGAGGGUGCGAGCGUUAAUCGGAAUUACUGGGCGUAAAGCGCACGUAGGUGGCGACGUAAGUCGGGUGUGAAAGCCCCGGGCUCAACCUGGGAAUUGCAUUCGAGACUGCAUUGCUGGAGUACGGAAGAGGAGGGCGGAAUUCCCGGUGUAGCGGUGAAAUGCGCAGAUAUCAGGAAGAACACCCGUGGCUAAGGCGGCUCUCUAGUACGGUACUGACGCUGAGACGCGAAAGCGUGGGGAGCGAACAGG